GACGAACCGAGCGAACGUUAUUCGGAAUCACUGGGCUUAAAGGGUGCGUAGGCGGGCACGCGAGUCAGGGGUGAAAUCCCACGGCCCAACCGUGGAAGUGCCUCUGAUACCGCGAGUCUCGAGGGGGGAUAGGGGCGUGCGGAACUUCCGGUGGGAGCGGUGAAAUGCGUAGAUAUCGUCAGGAAUGCCGGGUGGUGAAGACGGGGUGACUGGGCUGGUUCUGACACUGAGGCACGAAAGCGUGGGGGAGCGAACGGG
RNAcentral lists this ribosomal RNA (258 nucleotides) under uncultured bacterium. RNAcentral's name for it is "partial 16S ribosomal RNA". It matches the Rfam family "Bacterial small subunit ribosomal RNA", at positions 524 to 776 of the family's 1533-position model. The record is from RNAcentral.